Molecule: ribosomal RNA, 253 nt
Filed under: uncultured bacterium
Lineage: Bacteria
Description: partial 16S ribosomal RNA
Rfam family: Bacterial small subunit ribosomal RNA
Source: RNAcentral
GACAGAGGUGCCGAGCGUUAGGCGGAAUCACUGGGCUUAAAGCGUGUGUAGGCGGGCGGGCAAGUACCUUGUGAAAUCCCACGGCUCAACCGUGGAACGGCUGGGUAUACUGCCUGUCUUGAGCCAACUAGGGGCGAGCGGAACAGACGGUGGAGCGGUGAAAUGCGUAGAUAUCGUCUGGAACGCCAAAGGUGAAAACAGCUCGCUGGGGUUGUGCUGACGCUGAGACACGAAAGCGUGGGGAGCGAACGGG